This 213-nucleotide long non-coding RNA is filed under the name Capsicum annuum. Its description in RNAcentral is "long non-coding RNA (CANN_LNC019310)". The record is from RNAcentral. Lineage: Eukaryota; Viridiplantae; Streptophyta; Magnoliopsida; Solanales; Solanaceae.
ACCCGAUCAAGGAUAACACUAACCGCUUAACAUUUAAUAACUUAAAAAGAAUUCCCAUAACACCUUGAGCAUACUACUACCUCAACACACAAUAUCACACUUGAUCAGAAACAAAAAGACUUAAGCUCCCGUACAUACGGUUCAAACCUACUAAAUCUCCUCCCUAUCACUAACGUCGUAGCAAUUCAAUCAUUAAAUUCAUUUUCCUCAUCA